CCAAUAGUUUAUGCUAACAAUGUUGCAAUUAAAAAGCUCAUAGUCGAACUUUUCGGGUAUUCAAUUUUGUGUAGUCUUAAUGUAUUAUAAAGCAGUCGAUUUAUCUUAAUUUAUAAAUUUAUUCUGUUGGCAUUCAUUUUUCGAUAGUAAUUUUUUUUCAUUUAACUUUGAGAAAAUGAGAGUGUUCUAAGCAGGCAUUCGUUUAAUUUAAAAGUAUGGAAUGAAAAGUAAUGAUGUUGGCUUAUUUUGAUUGGUUUGAGAGGUUGGUGUAAUGAUUUAUGGACUGUUUCGGAGGUAUUGGUAUUUUGUCGUUAGAAGUGAAAUUCUUGGAUUGAGAGAAGACAAACAACAGCAAAAGCAUUCAUCUAAGAUCUAUUCCUUGGUCAAGAACGUAAGUUGUGGGAUCGAAGACGAUCAGAUACCGUCGUAGUUUCAACUAUAAACAAUAUCAAUUAGGGACUAGUGAAUGUAUCAAUAUACUUGUUGGAACCUUAGGAGAAAUCAAAGUGUUUGGAUUCUGGGGGGAGUAUGGUUGCAAGGUUGGAACUUAAAGGAAUUGACGGAAGGGCACCACAAGAUGUGUAUUCUGUGGCUUAAUUAGACUCAACACAGGAAAAUUUAUCAGGUCUAGACAUAGGAUUUAUUGACAGAUUGAUAGCUCUUUCUUAAUUCUGUGGGUUGUGGUGCAUGGCCGUUCUUAGUUGGUGGAGUGAUUUGUCUGGUUAAUUCCGUUAACGAACGAGACUAUUAACUGUUUAUUCGCGUAAUAAUUAGAUAUGUGUUUUUGCUCCUUUGAGAAACUAGUUUUGUAUAAAAAGCUGGAAGUUGGUAUCAAUAACAGGUCUGUGAUGCCCUUGGACGUUCUGGGCAGCGCACGGGCUACAAUAGGAGAAUUACUAUGCUUUCUAUCCUAAUUCGAAGAGAGUUUAGAAAUCAUGAAAUUGACUUAUAGUUGGGCUUACAUACUGAAAUUUUAAUGUAUAAACAAGGAAUAUCUAGUAAGUCUAGGUCAUUAACGUUGUUUGAAUACGUCCCUGCCUUUUGUACACACCGCCCGUCGCUCCUACCGAUCGGAUAAGUUAGUCAUUGAAUUGGAUGAAGAGUUAACUUACUGAUAGAUAACAUCACAGUUAAAAUUUGCAAACUAGAUUAUUUAGAGGAAGGAGAAGUCGUAACAAGGUUUCCGUAGGUGAAUCUGCAGAAG
RNAcentral lists this ribosomal RNA (1204 nucleotides) under marine metagenome. RNAcentral's name for it is "SSU rRNA". It matches the Rfam family "Eukaryotic small subunit ribosomal RNA", at positions 591 to 1823 of the family's 1831-position model. The record is from RNAcentral.